ACUACGGUGAGCAGCAGUAGGGAAUCUUCCACAAUGGGCGAAAGCCUGAUGGAGCAACGCCGCGUGGGUGAAGAAGGUCUUCGGAUCGUAAAACCCUGUUGUUAGAGAAGAAAGUGCGUGAGAGUAACUGUUCACGUUUCGACGGUAUCUAACCAGAACGCCACGGCUAACUACGUGCCAGCAGCCGCGGUGAUACGUAGGUGGCAAGCGUUAUCCGGGUUUUUUGGGCGUAAAGGGAACGCAGGCGGUCUUUUAAGUCUGAUGUGAAAGCCUUCGGCUUAACCGGAGUAUUGCAUUGGAAACUGGGAGACUUGAGUGCAGAAGAGGAGAGUGGAACUCCAUGUGUAGCGGUGAAAUGCGUAGAUAUAUGGAAGAACACCAGUGGCGAAAGCGGCUCUCUGGUCUGUAACUGACGCUGAGGUUCGAAAGCGUGGGUAGCAAACAGGAUUAGAUACCCGUGUAGUC
This 465-nucleotide ribosomal RNA is filed under the name uncultured bacterium. Its description in RNAcentral is "partial 16S ribosomal RNA". It matches the Rfam family "Bacterial small subunit ribosomal RNA", at positions 338 to 795 of the family's 1533-position model. The record is from RNAcentral.